Molecule: RNA transcript, 2234 nt
Organism: Chelonia mydas (Green sea turtle)
Lineage: Eukaryota; Metazoa; Chordata; Testudines; Cheloniidae
Gene name: potassium voltage-gated channel subfamily C member 1
Exons: 6
Source: RefSeq, a predicted model, not a curated record
CAAACUCCAGCCCCCGCCCCCCCCCCCGCACCCUCUCUCUCGUCCGGGAUCCCGACCUCCCCCCCACACCUUGGUCCUGCCCCCCCCCCCCCGGGCCAGCGGAGGCGGGCCUGCGAUGACGCCUCCCCCGUGGAGCGCCCUGAUUUGACCGCCCCCCCUCCCCUCCCCCCCGCCGCGUGCCGGGGGGCGCGCCGUGCCCGCCCCCCCCAAUGCUGAGCUCAGUGUGCGUCUCCUCCUUCCGCGGGCGCAAGCCGGGCAGCCAGGCGCCAGCCAAGUCAUGCGCCAGGGGGGACAUGGGCCGGCACGAGGACAGCGAGAAGAUCGUGAUUAACGUGGGGGGGGUGCGGCACGAAACCUACCGCAGCACCCUGCAGACCCUGCCCGGCACCCGCCUGGCCUGGCUCACCGAGCCCGACGCCUGCAGCAACUUCGACUACGACCCGGCCGCCGACGAGUUCUUCUUCGACCGCCACCCGCAGGUCUUCGCCUACGUCCUCAACUACUACCGCACGGGCAAGCUGCACUGCCCGGCCGACGUGUGCGGCCCGCUCUUCGAGGAGGAGCUGGCCUUCUGGGGCAUCGACGAGACCGACGUGGAGGCCUGCUGCUGGAUGAAUUACCGCCAGCACCGGGACGCCGAGGAGGCGCUGGACAGCUUCGAGGCCCCCGAGGCCCAGGAGGAGGAGGACGCCGCCGGGGACCUCAAGCGGCUCUGCCUGCAGGAGGACGGGCGCCAGGCCGGCUGGUGGCGCCGCUGGCAGCCCAAGGUCUGGGCGCUCUUUGAGGACCCGUACUCCUCCAAGAUGGCCAGGUACGUGGCCUUCGCCUCCCUCUUCUUCAUCCUCCUCUCCAUCACCACCUUCUGCCUGGAGACACACGAGGCCUUCAACCGCGUCAUCAACAAGACGGAGACGGUGGCGGUGGCCAACGGGACGGCCACCCAGGUGGCGGUGGAGGUGGAGACGGAGCCGUUCCUCACCUACGUGGAGGGGGCCUGCGUGAUCUGGUUCACCUUCGAGUUCCUCAUGCGGGUCUGCUUCUGCCCGGACAAGCUGGAGUUCGUCAAGAGCAGCCUCAACAUCAUCGAUUUUGUGGCCAUCCUGCCCUUCUACCUGGAGGUGGGCUUGCGGGGCCUCUCCUCCAAGGCGGCCAAGGACGUGCUGGGCUUCCUCCGGGUGGUGCGUUUCGUGCGGAUCCUGAGGAUCUUCAAGCUGACCCGGCACUUCGUGGGGCUGCGGGUGCUGGGCCACACGCUCCGGGCCAGCACCAACGAGUUCCUGCUGCUCAUCAUCUUCCUGGCCUUGGGCGUCUUGAUCUUCGCCACCAUGAUCUACUAUGCCGAGCGCAUCGGGGCCGACCCGGACGACAUCACGGGCAGCAAGCACACCGACUUCAAGAACAUCCCCAUCGGGUUCUGGUGGGCCGUGGUGACCAUGACCACCCUGGGCUACGGAGACAUGUACCCCAUGACCUGGUCGGGCAUGCUGGUGGGGGCGCUGUGCGCCCUGGCCGGGGUGCUGACCAUCGCCAUGCCCGUGCCCGUCAUCGUCAACAACUUCGGCAUGUAUUACUCCCUGGCCAUGGCCAAGCAGAAGCUGCCCAAGAAGAAGAACAAGCACAUCCCCCGGGCGCCCCAGCCCGGCUCGCCCAACUACUGCAAGCCCGAGGGAGCCCCCGGCCCCCGGCCCGGCCCCCCCGCCGCCGACGCCUGCCCCCUGGCCCAGGAGGAGAUCAUCGAGAUCAACCGGGCAGACUCCAAGCAGAACGGGGACGCGGCGAAAGCGGCGCUGGCCCACGAGGACUGUCCCACCAUCGACCAGGCCCUGUCCCCCGAGGAGAAGUCGCCCGCCACCCCCGCGGCCCGCGAGCAUUACAGCCACGACCGCGCCUGCUUCCUGCUGACGGCCGGCGAGUUCGGGCCGGCGCCCGACGGCAACCUCCGCAAAGCCGCGCUCCGCUUGCCGCCCCCGGACGCCGCCCCCUGGUGCCUGCCUGGCGUCAAUGCCGCGCCCGCCUCCUGGAGCCAGCACUAGAAGGCAGGGCGUGCUGGGAACGGGGUUCGCCCAGUGCCCCUGUAAUGCCCCGGCUGCGUCAGCCAGGUUAUGAGAAGUCCCGGAGUCUGAACAGCAUCGCGGGGCUGCGCCUCUCGCCCGCCCCCAGCCCCCUGGGCUCGCCCGGCGCCCCCCGGCGCCCCCGCCCCCCGCUCCCCUCCAUCCUAUAGCCGGGGGCCCCGG